AGUGAACGCUGGCGGCAGGCCUAACACAUGCAAGUCGAGCGGCAGCGGGUCGUAGCAAUACGAUGCCGGCGAGCGGCGGACGGGUGAGGAACACAUCGGAAUCUACCCAGUCGUGGGGGAUAACGUAGGGAAACUUACGCUAAUACCGCAUACGACCUGAGGGUGAAAGCAGGGGACCGCAAGGCCUUGCGCGAUUGGAUGAGCCGAUGUCGGAUUAGCUAGUUGGUGGGGUAAAGGCCCACCAAGGCGACGAUCCGUAGCUGGUCUGAGAGGAUGAUCAGCCACACUGGAACUGAGACACGGUCCAGACUCCUACGGGAGGCAGCAGUGGGGAAAUAUUGGACAAUGGGCGCAAGCCUGAUCCAGCCGUGCCGCGUGUGUGAAGAAGGCCUCGGUUGUAAAGCACUUUGUCCGGGUAAGAAAUGCUUCCGACCUAAUACGUCGGGAAGGCUGACGGUACCGGAAGAAUUAAGCACCGGCUAACUUCGUGCCAGCAGCCGCGGUAAUACGAAGGGCUGCAA
This 521-nucleotide ribosomal RNA is filed under the name uncultured bacterium. Its description in RNAcentral is "bacterial SSU rRNA". It matches the Rfam family "Bacterial small subunit ribosomal RNA", at positions 29 to 537 of the family's 1533-position model. The record is from RNAcentral.